This 468-nucleotide ribosomal RNA is filed under the name uncultured bacterium. RNAcentral's name for it is "partial 16S ribosomal RNA". It matches the Rfam family "Bacterial small subunit ribosomal RNA", at positions 28 to 507 of the family's 1533-position model. The record is from RNAcentral.
GACGAACGCUGGCGGCGUGCUUAACACAUGCAAGUCGAACGGAAAGGCCCUGCUUUUGUGGGGUGCUCGAGUGGCGAACGGGUGAGUAACACGUGAGUAACCUGCCCUUGACUUUGGGAUAACUUCAGGAAACUGGGGCUAAUACCGGAUAGGAGCUCCUGCUGCAUGGUGGGGGUUGGAAAGUUUCGGCGGUUGGGGAUGGACUCGCGGCUUAUCCGCUUGUUGGUGGGGUAGUGGCUUACCAAGGCUUUGACGGGUAGCCGGCCUGAGAGGGUGACCGGCCACAUUGGGACUGAGAUACGGCCCAGACUCCUACGGGAGGCAGCAGGGGGGAAUAUUGCACAAUGGGCGGAAGCCUGAUGCAGCAACGCCGCGUGCGGGAUGACGGCCUUCGGGUUGUAAACCGCUUUCGCCUGUGACGAAGCGUGAGUGACGGUAAUGGGUAAAGAAGCACCGGCUAACUACGUG